Molecule: long non-coding RNA, 591 nt
Filed under: Nicotiana tabacum (common tobacco)
Lineage: Eukaryota; Viridiplantae; Streptophyta; Magnoliopsida; Solanales; Solanaceae
Description: long non-coding RNA (NTAB_LNC011398)
Source: RNAcentral
GAAAAUACGAGAUAAAGAGUGAAAUUGAGAAGGGGGAGAGUGCAUCUGAUGUUAAAAGGGGCGAUUAUGUCAAAGGAAGGUGGCGCAAGGGGGAAUGGGAGAAAGGUGACUAUAUUUCUAACAGAAAAGGAGAGCUUGAUAAGAAUGAUCCCGGGUAUGAACCAGGCGAAUUUGUACCUGAUAGGUGGCGGAAAGGUGACGGGGCAGCUGCAAGAGAUGAUUUCAACUAUAGCAGAACACGCAGGCAUGAUUUUGCCAAGGAUAAGGGUUGGAAAGGGGACCUUGAAUGGACAACGCCACCUUUUGCCAAGGACAAAGGCUGGAGAAACGACCGUGAAUGGACGCCACCUUCUGCCAAGGACAAAGGAUGGAGAAAUGAUUGUGAAUGGACGCCACCUUCGGCCAAGGACAAAGGAUGGAGAAAUGAUCAUGAAUGGACGCCACCUUCGGCCAAGGACAAAGGAUGGAGAAAUGAUCGUGAAUGGACGCCACCUUCUUCAGGCAAGCAUUCUGGGGAGAAAGAUGUUGGUAAUAGAAGUGGUGGAAUUCAGCAUGUGAAAAGGUUAUCUAGAUAUGAACCUAGCAUCCCAG